Molecule: small nucleolar RNA, 123 nt
Filed under: Echinops telfairi (small Madagascar hedgehog)
Lineage: Eukaryota; Metazoa; Chordata; Mammalia; Afrosoricida; Tenrecidae
Description: Small nucleolar RNA SNORA61 (ENSETEG00000026617.1)
Source: RNAcentral
AGCCCCCAGAUUCCUUACCCCUGGGAUCUGAACACUGGGUCUGAGUGACUGUAAAUGGAGGAAAUGUAAAACUGAAGUGGACUUGGCAUUCUUUAGUGACACUCAAGUUCAUUUCAAACAAAC